RNAcentral lists this ribosomal RNA (253 nucleotides) under uncultured bacterium. RNAcentral's name for it is "partial 16S ribosomal RNA". It matches the Rfam family "Bacterial small subunit ribosomal RNA", at positions 524 to 776 of the family's 1533-position model. The record is from RNAcentral.
UACGUAGGGUGCAAGCGUUGUCCGGAAUUAUUGGGCGUAAAGAGCUUGUAGGCGGUUUGUCGCGUCUGCUGUGAAAUUUCGGGGCUCAACCCCGAACUUGCAGUGGGUACGGGCAGACUAGAGUGUGGUAGGGGAGACUGGAAUUCCUGGUGUAGCGGUGAAAUGCGCAGAUAUCAGGAGGAACACCGAUGGCGAAGGCAGGUCCCUGGGCAUUAACUGACGCUGAGGAGCGAAAGCAUGGGGAGCGAACAGG